GAAGUUCAAUUUCUUAAUUUUGAGCCUAAAGAUGAAGAAGCUUAAUUUCUUGAUUUUCUUUAUUUUUUAGGCUAAUUUGGGUUUGAAUUGAAAAUUUUGUGCUAAUUUGGGCAAAAAGUUAAAAAUGUGCUCAAUUGAAUUUCCCCAAUAAGUGGAGGGGGUGAUAUUAAGCUUUAAGCCUUUUUUUUAUUCUGCUGUAGAUAUUUAUUCUUACUUUCUGCAGUAUUAUCUGAAAUUUUAGUCACAACUGGCAAUGAAUUUAUUCUGAAAAGUGCUGAAGCCUGUUGCUAUCUACUUAUCAAGAAGUUGUUCUGCACUUCCUCUCUCUCUACAGAUUCCCUCCAGUUUUUGGAACUUUUAGGGCAAAUUUGUUAUUGCAGAUUGUUUAUGAACUAGUUCUAUUACUCAUUUGGGAACAUAGAGGUGAAUGGAUCUUCAAUAAUAUAUCCUCCUAGAGUUUUGUGGAUCUUAUUUUGCCUGAAGUUUUUUAAGUGACCUUCAGUAAUGUUGUUGCAACUGGAGGAAUUCUGAUUGAAGAUUUAAUGAGUAUGGUCCAACAGUUACCUCUUAUGUUGUUUAAGCUCAUUUCACAUGGUUUCAGUGAGAUACUUUGGUGACUUGAGCUGAAGAGGAAUUUCUAGAUUCAUGCAGCUUUUGUUCAUUUUUUUCCCCUACUUAGAUCUUAACAUUGAAAGUUUUAAUCGCAAAUUCCAUAAUCCCAUGUAAAAUCCUUCCGAAAUUGGAAUCCAGAUUCCUAAUAGGUGAAGGAAGAGUGCUGAGAACCUGUAAAUUGCCAGGCAUUCAUUUGUUUUUUUCCUUUAGCUUUUGAUAAUGGAUAGCUGUCUUAAAUUUGUUUCACAAGGAUGCAUGUCUGGUGUGUUCUCUCUCUCUCUCCCUUUUCCUUCAUGAACUCUUUCUUAUCCUCUUUAUCUUUGCUUCAUCUCUGUGAUUAAUGCAUUAACAAGCCCUUUAUCUUUUCAUUUAUAAACCCUAAAACCCUUGGUUUACCAAGUUUAGCCCAUCACAAGUAAAGUUAGCAGAUUACUUCAAAACCACACUACAUUACUGUAGCCUUGUGUUGGUGAGGCAAGGCUUUUGUUUGCCAAGUGAAAUUGUUUAAUGACUUGGAGAAUGCUAUGCACGCCCUUAUGUUCUUCAUGAGUAAGAAAACAAUAGGCUUUCUAAUUAAUGGAUAUAUUUAUUACAAUGGACCUUAUUUGUUAUUGGAAAUUGAUGCCCUCUUUUAUAUGGGUUUAGUUGUCUGUCUAUUGGACUCAACUCUUUACUUUCCUGUUUUAGCAUUUUAUAUCCUUAUGAAAUCCACUCUCCAGUUCUGUGCUCUUGUGAUAAAGGAUGAUAAGUAAAAGUUCGAUGAGAGACAUCAUAUUCCUGCAAUAUGCUUAUUGUCCACAAUGCUUGGCAGUGAGCAGAAAUUCUUGCAAAUGGUUAUAAUUUGCUAUACCUGAUGUGCAUAUGAUGUACAUUCAUGAUGGAAAAUAACUUGUGUAAAACAUGGUAUUCUGGUGUGUAAAGAUUGUUCUUGCUUUUCAUUCAGGAAGAAAUUGAGAUUGAGGCAAAG
Molecule: unclassified non-coding RNA, 1579 nt
Filed under: Hevea brasiliensis (rubber tree)
Lineage: Eukaryota; Viridiplantae; Streptophyta; Magnoliopsida; Malpighiales; Euphorbiaceae
Source: RNAcentral